Molecule: non-coding RNA, 31 nt
Filed under: Rattus norvegicus (Norway rat)
Lineage: Eukaryota; Metazoa; Chordata; Mammalia; Rodentia; Muridae
Source: RNAcentral
UACUCCCUGGAGAGAAGAUGACUUGGAACAU